UCUGGCGGCUUUAGCGCGGUGGUCCCACCUGACCCCAUGCCGAACUCAGAAGUGAAACGCCGUAGCGCCGGGGGGACUUGAACCCCCACGUCCGUAAGAA
RNAcentral lists this ribosomal RNA (100 nucleotides) under Enterobacter cloacae subsp. cloacae. The record is from RNAcentral. Lineage: Bacteria; Pseudomonadati; Pseudomonadota; Gammaproteobacteria; Enterobacterales; Enterobacteriaceae.